Long non-coding RNA from Callithrix jacchus (white-tufted-ear marmoset), 4026 nucleotides. RefSeq lists it as uncharacterized. The record is from RefSeq and is a predicted model, not a curated record. Lineage: Eukaryota; Metazoa; Chordata; Mammalia; Primates; Cebidae.
CAGGGCUGGGAGGGCCAGGCAGGUGGGGAAGGCUUGCAGGCCAGGCCCAACGCCUUGAGAAGCCAAUGGGCUCCUAAAGGGUACUUCAUUCUGGGUGAGGCCCAAGACAUAGUGGCCACACUUCCUCCCAUGCUCAGGGAUUCGGGGUCUAAACAAGCCUGGGCCUGAUCCCUGCCAUGGUCGCUGCACAGCAGGGAGUCUCCUGGAGUGGGGCCCUAGGGUGGAGCUGCUCAUGGGCAGCUUGCCUACUCCCACCCCUGUCUGUCUCUCCCAGCCCUCCUGUAGGUCAUUUCUGAGAGCUCAAGGACACAGCUGCCAAAGAAAUACCACAGGGCACAGCACUGUGGACCUUGGAGUGGAGGACGGUGGGGAAGACAGGGGCAGCUUGCGCCAGGAUCUCACGGGAGCAGAGGGCAUGGUGCCGACAGCAAAGCCAGUCCACCAUGGGACUACUGGCCUGUGCCUGCUGCUCGGUGGGGCAGGCUGGAUGUGCAGAGGGGCUGGCCUGUCCCCAUGGUCCUGAUGACAGGACCAGCUUCAAGAGAAGGCUGAGCUUGUCUGCAUGACAGAGCUCCUGCUGACUACCUUCAGGGCUUGGCAGAUGGAAUUGCUCAAAAAACAUUCAACAAAGCAGCUGUCUUAGUCAAGACUCCUUCGGUUACAAGUUUAGGCAAAAGGAAGUUUCUUUGGGAAAGUUCUCAUAACUGCAGGGAGAGCGGGGUGUAGAUGGGCCUCAGAGAUGGCUGGAACCAAGGACUGACACCACACCCGAAUUCACUUGCAUCUUCUGCCCUCGCUCCAUUUCCUCCCCAUGCUGAAGGACUUGACCAUAAAUGGCUCCAGAGCUUUCUGGCUCCAAAUCAGCAGGUGAACUAAGCUACUUCUUUACAUUUUCACACUGAUAAAUGUCAGGGAAGAAUGCUGACUGACCCAACUGGAGCUAAUUGCUCACCCUUGGACCAAUCACUAUGAAAAGGGUAUCCAGGAAUAUGACAUUUCCCACUCAAAGCUCGUGGUCAGAAAAGAGUGAAGAGUGGAUCCUGGGAGAUGGAGGAUGCUGCUCUGGGCAGACAAAUGGAGUUAAACAUUACAAGAAGGAAGAAUCAUUGAGUGGACUUCUUCUGUAAUGGAGAGCUGUCACAGACACUUCUUUAGUGACAGUAGUUAAGAGUUUUACAAGGAUGCAAGGAGAACCUGAAACCAGAUAACCCAACUCAGGCUGUGGUAGUUGGGGAAAUUUUCCCUGAAGAGGUGACAUUAAUGCUAAUUUUUGAAGAAUCCAAAGGACUUGGCUGGGCACAGUGUUGGGGGUGAAGAGGAGAAUGUUCCAGGCUCAGGGAAGAACGUGUACAAGAUCUGUACUCGUAGCUGACAGAUACUGACAUGAAACUGCGUGAGUGACUGGCUGGGUAGAAACCUUGGCCACCUGGAGGGACUUCCUCAUCUGAAGGACGCAGCUGCUUUUUGCUCCAGCCAGAGUUAUGUCAAGUGGAAAUGAGGGUCUAGUGUUGCCAGAGUUUUUGAUGUUUAAGAGAAGCUGGUCAUCUGGAAUUUUUUUUCAUAAAACUUCUCAAUCUUUUUAAUGUUAGCAAACAAUCCCCUUCUCCUUCAUAGCUAAACAAAACCUGUAAGCUAACAGGCUUUUUUUAACCUGUGCAUGGCUGAACCACAAUUUAUUUAUUUCUCUCCUGGGCUACACCUUGAAGUUAUUUUUUAUGGUUCCCCGUUACAAAUAAUUCUGUAAUGAAUAUCCUUGGACAGACAACCUCAACAGUUUCUCUGGCUAUGAAAGUUUGCACCAGACAGCCACUUGUGACCUUGCAACUGCUAGACCUUGUGACCUCUUCAGCCCCAUCCUCCUUCCCCCCUCCUUCCCCACAGCCCUUCACAUCCCCCCAGUUCUCCUUCUACUUUUCCAACUGUUCUUUUCAAUUUCCUUCAACGUCUUAGUCAACUCCAGCAAUGGCUGCAAUGGAAUCCACAUCACUAGUAAGGAGUCUAUGAGGUGAUCUGGGGGGUAUGGUCCCACAGAAGGUGCCCAGCUCUCACCUGGGCUGAGAGCAUAGCUGGUUGGUCUUGGGCGGUAUCUCAAGCCAAAGCCCUGGCCUGGUUGGCUCUGCUGCCCUACUUCCUGGAAGGGAAGGGCCUGAGGCUGGCUCAGCAAGCACAAUGGUUGCUAAAAGACCAGCAAAUACAUUCUUGGUGGAUUCUGCCCUGCUCUGAUAAGGCGGGUAUGGAGGAGAUGAGGAGCUGGAGGUCUGGUGCCAAAGUCCUGAGAGGAGUUCCCACCACACAGGAGAGAAGAACCGGGAUCCUCUUAGAGCUGGCAGGCAGAGCUAUUGCCUCAGCUCUCUGGCUGUGCCCAGAUUUCUUCCUAUGGUGCCCUCUUGUGCCAUGGUCUUUGUGUUGUGAGUGGACUGUCCUUACCGUGGCCAUCAAUAGCCAGCCUGAAAUGUGGUGGGGGAACAAAGGGUGAGAGGGAGGGCAACUUCCCUAGCCCCCAGGGCCUUUAUUGAGGGAGACAAUGAAAAGCUUUAUUUCCUGUUUGUCUUGAAGCAUCCCUCUUGGGUCUUUGAUUGAAUCAAGUGGUACCUACUGUCGGAGACUGCCAGAUUUUUAAAGUUAUGAAUAAAAUAAAGCUACAAUGGAGUCUGGCUGUCAGUGAACAUCCUUCUAAAAUAAUUGUAAAAAUAAUAAAAGUUAGCAUAAAACAACAAUGUUCUCAUUUACUGAACACUUAGUCUAUGCCAGGCAUCAUGCUAAGGGGGUCUUCAUUCUUUAUCUCAUUUAGUCCUCAUGCCAGCCCCCAGAGUUUAGAUUGAUAGCUGUGAUCUCAGGAUGAGCUUAAGAAACCUGCUUAGAAAUUGUAUUAAGAUAAUACCUGUCAAGAGGGACAAGCUUGACUGCUACAGGUCCCACAAGUCCCCACCCAGACCUCAGCAGACAAGACCCUGUUUCUACAACAUACCCACUCAUCUGUCUUAUGUUUGUUCGCAGCAGUCCUAGAUCGUAUGUCACCGCCUGAGACCACAGUACCUUUAGAUGCUGUAUCCCCUUAGGUUCCUCUUGCUUAUGACAGAGGCUGGGGGGAAACUGCAUGUGGAGAGAGGGCCCCAAAUCCCCAUAAGCUUCUGCCUCUUGGUUUGAAACCUAAAGUGAGACACUCUAGACUGUAGUGGAGCAAGCCACCCAAUGCCCCCUCACUCAGCAAGAGCUUCCUUCUAAGUUUGGGUUUUUUAUAACCUCCCUUGACUCUACAGUUUAUGUGGAUUACACAUACUUAGACAUUUGUGAUGAUAUGAUGGUCACUAUUCCUAAUGUGAACUCUUUGGAGAUCCAUGAGAUCCUGUGUUUUAUAGAUUGACUUUUUCAUUCAUUUGUUGAGGUUCACUGAGCACUCUCUGUGCCUGGCACUGCUAGAGGGAAUAGGAAUAAUGUGAUGAGUGGGACAGUUGUGGCCCCACCUUGCUGGGUCACAUUCUUGUGGGAAAAAUACUCAAUGAAAUACUAGCAAAAUGAAGCUAGUAACAUAUAUGAAGGAGUAUACACUAUGGCUCAAUGAGAUUUAUCCCAGGAAUGCAAAGUUGGUUUAAUAUCUGGAUAUCAGUGUAAUAUACCAUAUUAAUAGAAUUAAUGACUAAACCACAUGAUCAUUUCAAGCAUUUGAAAAAAUUUAACACUCUUUCAGGAUGGAAACAUUCAACAAACGAGGCAUAGAAAGGAAUUUCCUCAAUCUGAUAAAGGGCAACUAUUUUCUUUUUGUUUUAAAAACACAGCUUAACAUCAUAUUUAAUGUUUAAUGGUGGAAAGUUGAAUGCAUUCCCUGCUAAGAUCAGGAACAAGGAAAGGAUAUUUGUUCUCACCAAUUGUAUUCAGCAUUGUACUGAAGCUUGUAGCUAGAGUACUUAAGCAAGAAAAUGAAAUAAAAAUCAUCAAGAUUGGAAAGAAAGAACUUAACUAUCUCUAUUUGUAAAUGCCAUCAUCUUGUAGUAUAUAAAAAAUCCUAAGGAAUCCACUAAAAAACUA